UACGGAGGGUGCAAGCGUUAAUCGGAAUUACUGGGCGUAAAGGGCGCGUAGGCGGUCAGACCAAGUCGAAUGUGAAAUUCCAGAGCUUAACUCUGGACGGUCGUUCGAUACUGGUCGGCUAGAGUGUGGAAGAGGAUGUCGGAAUUCCCGGUGUAGCGGCGAAAUGCGUAGAUAUCGGGAGGAACACCAGCGGCGAAGGCGGGCAUCUGGGCUAACACUGACGCUGAGGCGCGAAAGCUA
RNAcentral lists this ribosomal RNA (240 nucleotides) under uncultured bacterium. Its description in RNAcentral is "partial 16S ribosomal RNA". It matches the Rfam family "Bacterial small subunit ribosomal RNA", at positions 524 to 762 of the family's 1533-position model. The record is from RNAcentral.